Molecule: small RNA, 74 nt
Filed under: Xanthomonas arboricola
Lineage: Bacteria; Pseudomonadati; Pseudomonadota; Gammaproteobacteria; Lysobacterales; Lysobacteraceae
Also listed under: 1 other name
Description: sRNA sX9
Rfam family: Xanthomonas sRNA sX9
Source: RNAcentral
AUGCACACGCGUACAUCCCGGUCUCUGCGUGCCGUCCACAUCCGUCCGGCGACCGCGCGUUAUGUCUGUCAGCC